Molecule: transfer RNA, 72 nt
Filed under: Methanobacterium bryantii
Lineage: Archaea; Methanobacteriati; Methanobacteriota; Methanobacteria; Methanobacteriales; Methanobacteriaceae
Also listed under: 3 other names
Description: tRNA-Thr
Rfam family: tRNA
About the family: Transfer RNA (tRNA) molecules are approximately 80 nucleotides in length. Their secondary structure includes four short double-helical elements and three loops (D, anti-codon, and T loops).
Source: RNAcentral
GCCUGUGUAGCUCAAAGGCCAGAGCAGUUGCCUCGUAAGUAACAGAUAGGGGUUCGAGUCCCUUCACAGGCU